This 489-nucleotide ribosomal RNA is filed under the name Triticum aestivum (bread wheat). RNAcentral describes it as "partial small subunit ribosomal RNA". Lineage: Eukaryota; Viridiplantae; Streptophyta; Magnoliopsida; Poales; Poaceae. The record is from RNAcentral.
AAACCUUCAAGGCUGCUCAUUGGAGUGAGGACAUGGUCGGACAUUCACCCUAUCAUCCAUCGACUCAUUGUUGCUGAUAUCAUAGAAAAAUGGGACCUGGAAGAUACACCAGAAACAGAAGAAAAAUUUCUCAAAAUUGCGGAAGAGCGAUAUAGAGGCUGGCGAUCAAGUCUAAGCUCCACUUACAAGGCAUACAAAACAAAUGCAGCUAGAUGGGCUAAUCUGCUGGAAGCUUUACAACCAAAAGAGUGGGAAUGGAUGAUUGAGUACUUUGGCACUCAUUCAAAGUUUCAGGUUAUCUCUAAGAUCACUCUUUGUCUAGUAUGUGUUAAGAUGAAAUUGCUUUUCUGUCUGGUUAUAUUUUGUUACGAUGAAUUGAUAGGAAAGCAACCAAAAGAACACCGAUUGUCGCAAGUAACAGAACACAAAACACAUAAUUGGAUCAAAUCUUACUCGCAACUAAGUUUGAGAAGGUAUGAGUCUAACUAA